Gossypium hirsutum (cotton) is the source of this 131-nucleotide non-coding RNA. NCBI's taxonomy places the organism in Eukaryota, Viridiplantae, Streptophyta, Magnoliopsida, Malvales, Malvaceae. The record is from Rfam.
UGUUAAAAAUUUUAUAUGUUUUUAUUGUUAAAAAUUGGUGUAGUUGACGGUUGAAUCACCCCGCCACGUAUACCUGAUUCUGAUGUACAUGAAUGAGUUUUUAACAGUAGAAAUGAAUAGAAUUUUUAAUA